Echinops telfairi (small Madagascar hedgehog) is the source of this 128-nucleotide small nucleolar RNA. The record is from Ensembl. NCBI's taxonomy places the organism in Eukaryota, Metazoa, Chordata, Mammalia, Afrosoricida, Tenrecidae.
GAGCAUGUUCCCAAGGUCUGUGGCUAGUGGGGCUAUCUAAUCUCCAACGGCAGGCAAGAGCAACUUGGGGAGACGGUGACAGCUCAGGUCAGCUAAGUCUGCAGCUGCCACUUGCCUUUCCUAUAACA